GACUUUUUUUUUUUUUUUUUUUUUAGAGAGAGAAUUUCAAUACACAACCCAGGCUGCAUGCAUGCCAGGCGAGCGCGCUACCACUUGAGCCACAUCCCCAGCUCUCUUCACUGACAUUUGAUCCUUACAUCAAAUCCUUACCCUGAUUUUGAUCCUUACACAUUGUAUACUUGUAUUGAAAUACCACACUAUACUCCCUAAAUAUGUGUAAUUACUGUCAGUUAAAAAUGUAUUAAAAUAAAGCAGCACCUUUUGUCUUGUGGAAAAGAAAUUUAGAACAGUGGCAAAGUACAAUUUUGAGUCAAACUUGUGAUUCAGAUUUCUUUUUUUUUUUUUUUCAGAAUUUCCAAAUGCAUCUCCUUGACUGAGCCUCCUACAUGGAGAAGCUCAGAGUCCCAGCCUCGUACCUCACUAAUGUCCUGGACAUCAGACAAACUUAGCUGAAUGCUUUCUACUGCCAAGCUUUUGCUGCUGUUGCUUUUGUGUGUGUGUGUGGUUGGGGGUGGUAUUGGGGGUUGAACUCAGGGGCACUCUACCACAUCUACACCCUCAGCCCUUUAUUUUUGAGACAAGCUCUCACUAAGUUGUUGAGGCUUGCCUCAAACUUGCAAUCCUCCAGCUUCAGCCUCCCACCUCUAUGGAUUUACAAGCAUGUGCCAUUACCCUUGGCCAGGCCUUUACUUCUGCUUUGCUCCCUACCAGAAAUGCUCUUUCUUCCUCUUGUUGAGUUUCUGCCCAUACUUAGAGGCCAGGAGCUGAAGGGAAGGUAGUGACUUUUUUGCCUGAGGCACAGAUCCAGGGGCUGCCUGAUUGCCCUAACGUGGGGUCUGUGAUUAAGAACUGGUUUGUGGGGGCUGGGACUGUGGCUCAGAGGUAGCACACUUGCCUGGCAUGUGUGAGGCAUUGGGUUGAAUUCUCAGCACCACGUAUAAACUAUUUAAAUAAAGGUCUA
This 952-nucleotide long non-coding RNA is filed under the name Marmota monax (woodchuck). The record is from RNAcentral. Lineage: Eukaryota; Metazoa; Chordata; Mammalia; Rodentia; Sciuridae.